GUUGGGUCUAUAUUUCAUACUCCUACUUGAAAGUCAAACGCUUGAUGUGACCCGGGCUAAACUUUAGUCCACAUAACCAGGGGGUGUAAGACUGGGCAUAGUACCCGCUACCCGCUACCCGAAUCCGAAAAACCCGGACCCGGAACCGAAUUACCCGAAUUCACAGUACCCGAAGUCUAGUUCGGAUAGUAAAUAUUAUUACCCGAAUUUAGUUUGGGUAAUUCGGGUAGCACCACCCGGUACCCGAACUACCCGAAAUAGUGUCUCUGUGUGUGUCACCUGGCGACUCGUGUAGUCAUGUGGACUAUGUGGGCCACGCGGCCAGCAGCCCAUCAAGGCAUCAGCUAUCAAUCCAGUAUUCUAGAUUUCCAAUGCCGCUUCCUUUCCUCCGUCGUGCUCUCCCCAGUCCCCUCCGCCUCCGGUCUCCAUAACCUAGCCGUCCCUCUCCUCGGUGCAGCGGUGCCCGGACGCUGGAGCGACCUCAAGUGCUCGACAGGCGUCACGGGACACGACGCUCACCGCUCGCUGUCGCUGGUGGACUACGGACGACUGGAACUGGAUUGCUGUGGAGAACUGGAUUGCUGACUGCUGUGGAGAAUUUGGACUUUGAAGCCUGAAGUCUAAACCAUCUGUGAAGUUCGAACUAUAUUUUCUUGUGAAUUUGUGAUGCAAUGCAAUGGCACUUGGCGGCUGUCACUGACAGGCAGCACCGAAGCAGGCUUAAUGCCUUGCAGCCUUGCACUUUUGUAUCAUGUUGUCAUCGAGUACUCAGUACAUUAGUAUUAGUAGGUAGUACCUGUCGGCUGUAUUGGUUCUUGAAUUCUUGCUCCUCUGCAUAAGUUUUAUUCUCUAUACUAGAUUAUGAUCUUACGAUGUUCUGUUAGUAGUAAUUCAUUAAUCUGCGUUUUGUUCAGGA
Molecule: long non-coding RNA, 916 nt
Organism: Zea mays
Lineage: Eukaryota; Viridiplantae; Streptophyta; Magnoliopsida; Poales; Poaceae
Exons: 2
Source: RefSeq, a predicted model, not a curated record